This 613-nucleotide ribosomal RNA is filed under the name Trechus quadristriatus. RNAcentral's name for it is "SSU rRNA". It matches the Rfam family "Eukaryotic small subunit ribosomal RNA", at positions 20 to 603 of the family's 1831-position model. The record is from RNAcentral. RNAcentral also lists the same sequence under 2 other names. Lineage: Eukaryota; Metazoa; Arthropoda; Insecta; Coleoptera; Carabidae.
GUAGUCAUAUGCUUGUCUCAAAGAUUAAGCCAUGCAUGUCUCAGUACAAGCCAUAUUAAGGUGAAACCGCGAAAGGCUCAUUAAAUCAGUUAUGGUUCCUUAGAUCGUACCCACAUUUACUUGGAUAACUGUGGUAAUUCUAGAGCUAAUACAUGCAAACAGAGCUCCGACCGGAGACGGAAGGAGUGCUUUUAUUAGAUCAAAACCAAUCGGCGGCAAUUGGGUUUACUUAAUUGUUCGUCGCACUUUUUGGUGACUCUGAAUAACUUUUGGCUGAUCGCACGGUCUCGCACCGGCGACGCAUCUUUCAAAUGUCUGCCUUAUCAACUGUCGAUGGUAGGUUCUGCGCCUACCAUGGUUGUAACGGGUAACGGGGAAUUAGGGUUCGAUUCCGGAGAGGGAGCCUGAGAAACGGCUACCACAUCCAAGGAAGGCAGCAGGCGCGCAAAUUACCCACUCCCGGCACGGGGAGGUAGUGACGAAAAAUAACGAUACGGGACUCAUCCGAGGCCCCGUAAUCGGAAUGAGUACACUUUAAAUCCUUUAACAAGGACCAAUUGGAGGGUAAGUCUGGUGCCAGCAGCCGCGGUAAUUCCAGCUCCAAUAGCGUAUA